GAACUGAUGCCUUUCUGGGGGAAGAGCCUAUUUUCCAUCUGGGAAAGUGCCUCUUUGUGUGGUGUGAGGAAACAGCAGUCCAUAGUACCUCAGGCAGCUUGUGAGGACCAGGCUUCUUAGCAGAUCAAGUUUUCACUCCACAGACCUGCCUUUCUGUCAAGGAACCCCUCCAGAGUGGAGCCCCACCCUUCCCAGCUUGGGUUGAUUCGUUGCGUGAUUCUGCAGGUGGAUUAGCAGGAAUAAUGGACUUAAUAGCCACCACCUAUGUGCAAGGGUCUUUGGGACUGCGUUGGACUGAUUGAAGUGCCUACCUCAAUCGGCAAAUGCAAAUUGCAAUCAAGAAAAGAAUCCAGAACUCAGGGCAAGAGAUGCAGAGACAAACAUCAGAACAGAGACAUGAGGCAAAACCAGGUAUAAGAAAUCAUUCAAGAAAGAAAAGAGAAAUCAUUCCGUGUCAGAAGCCAAUAUCAUCAGAAGCAGCUCAUAUAUACUGUGUCGUUUUUCCCAAGGAAGGAACCAUGAAGGAAGGGGAAUGUCUGCUUGGGAUUGGAGCUCUUGAUAUUCCUGUCCCUUCUCAUGUUUAAGGUCCUGGGACUAAGAUCUGAGACUGCAGUCCGGGCCUCAGGAAACCUCUCAAUAUGUGGAUGCAGUCCCCACCAUGUGUCCUAAUUGUCUUGCUCUGGUGACCCUCGUUACCUCUCUGCCUCUUCACUUAGAUUCUUCAGGUCAGUUGUCCAGCUGGACUUUCUAUGUGGCUUUGUGCAUAAUAAACAUGGUUUGUGU
Long non-coding RNA from Leopardus geoffroyi (Geoffroy's cat), 783 nucleotides. RefSeq lists it as uncharacterized. The record is from RefSeq and is a predicted model, not a curated record. NCBI's taxonomy places the organism in Eukaryota, Metazoa, Chordata, Mammalia, Carnivora, Felidae. The transcript is spliced from 3 exons.